GACGAACGCUGGCGGCGUGCUUAACACAUGCAAGUCGAGCGGUAAGGCUCCUUCGGGAGUACACGAGCGGCGAACGGGUGAGUAACACGUGAGCAAUCUGCCCUUCACUCUGGGAUAACCCCCGGAAACGAGAGCUAAUACCGGAUACGACCACUUCAGGCAUCUGAUGGUGGUGGAAAGUUCCGGCGGUGAAGGAUGAGCUCGCGGCCUAUCAGCUUGUUGGUGAGGUAAUGGCUCACCAAGGCUUCGACGGGUAGCCGGCCUGAGAGGGUGACCGGCCACACUGGGACUGAGACACGGCCCAGACUCCUACGGGAGGCAGCAGUGGGGAAUAUUGCACAAUGGGCGAAAGCCUGAUGCAGCGACGCCGCGUGAGGGAUGACGGCCUUCGGGUUGUAAACCUCUUUCAGCAGGGAAGAAGCGAAAGUGACGGUACCUGCAAAAGAAGCACCGGCUAACUACGUGCCAGCAGCCGCCGUAACAC
RNAcentral lists this ribosomal RNA (484 nucleotides) under uncultured bacterium. RNAcentral's name for it is "bacterial SSU rRNA". It matches the Rfam family "Bacterial small subunit ribosomal RNA", at positions 28 to 526 of the family's 1533-position model. The record is from RNAcentral.